ACCCUACGGGAGGCAGCAGUGGGGAAUAUUGCACAAUGGGGGAAACCCUGAUGCAGCGACGCCGCGUGAGUGAUGAAGUAUUUCGGUAUGUAAAGCUCUAUCAGCAGGGAAGAUAAUGACGGUACCUGACUAAAAAGCUCCGGCUAAAUACGUGCCAGCAGCCGCGGUAAUACGUAUGGAGCAAGCGUUAUCCGGAAUUACUGGGUGUAAAGGGAGCGUAGACGGUUAAGUAAGUCUGGAGUGAAAGGCCGGGGCCCAACCCCGGGACUGCUCUGGAAAAUAUUCAACUUGAGUGCAGGAGAGGG
This 305-nucleotide ribosomal RNA is filed under the name uncultured bacterium. RNAcentral's name for it is "bacterial SSU rRNA". It matches the Rfam family "Bacterial small subunit ribosomal RNA", at positions 335 to 658 of the family's 1533-position model. The record is from RNAcentral.